AAACCACGUCUCAGUUCGGAUCGGAGUCUGCAACCCGACUCCGUGAAGCUGGAUUCGCUAGUAAUCGCGCAUCAGCCAUGGCGCGGUGAAUACGUUCCCGGGCCUUGUACACACCGCCCGUCACACCAUGGGAGCCGGUAAUACCCGAAGUCAGUAGUCCAACCUCGUGAGGACGCUGCCGAAGGUAGGAUUGGCGACUGGGGUGAAGUCGUAACAAGGUAGC
This 223-nucleotide ribosomal RNA is filed under the name uncultured bacterium. RNAcentral describes it as "partial 16S ribosomal RNA". It matches the Rfam family "Bacterial small subunit ribosomal RNA", at positions 1278 to 1500 of the family's 1533-position model. The record is from RNAcentral.